This 253-nucleotide ribosomal RNA is filed under the name uncultured bacterium. RNAcentral describes it as "partial 16S ribosomal RNA". It matches the Rfam family "Bacterial small subunit ribosomal RNA", at positions 524 to 776 of the family's 1533-position model. The record is from RNAcentral.
UACAGAGGUCUCAAGCGUUGUUCGGAUUCAUUGGGCGUAAAGGGUGCGUAGGUGGCGUCGUAAGUCAGGUGUGAAAUCUCUGGGCUCAACCCAGAGGCUGCUUCCGAAACUGCUGUGCUUGAGUGUGGGAGAGGCGCGUGGAAUUGCAGGUGUAGCGGUGAAAUGCGUAGAUAUCUGCAGGAACACCCGUGGCGAAAGCGGCGCGCUGGACCACUACUGACGCUGAAGAACGAAAGCUAGGGGAGCAAACAGG